GGGAGUAUAGGCUAACCUGGCAGACUGGCGGGCUCCAGACCCGCUGACGGGGGUUCAAAUCCCUCUACUCCCA
RNAcentral lists this transfer RNA (73 nucleotides) under Candidatus Methanoplasma termitum. Its description in RNAcentral is "tRNA-Trp (CCA) (tRNA-Trp-CCA-1-1)". It matches the Rfam family "tRNA". From Rfam's summary of the family: Transfer RNA (tRNA) molecules are approximately 80 nucleotides in length. Their secondary structure includes four short double-helical elements and three loops (D, anti-codon, and T loops). Further hydrogen bonds mediate the characteristic L-shaped molecular structure. tRNAs have two regions of fundamental functional importance: the anti-codon, which is responsible for specific mRNA codon recognition, and the 3' end, to which the tRNAs corresponding amino acid is attached (by aminoacyl-tRNA synthetases). tRNAs cope with the degeneracy of the genetic code in two manners: having more than one tRNA (with a specific anti-codon) for a particular amino acid; and 'wobble' base-pairing, i.e. permitting non-standard base-pairing at the 3rd anti-codon position. RNAcentral also lists the same sequence under 1 other name. The record is from RNAcentral. Lineage: Archaea; Methanobacteriati; Thermoplasmatota; Thermoplasmata; Methanomassiliicoccales; Methanomassiliicoccaceae.